UACGUAGGGGGCAAGCGUUAUCCGGAUUUACUGGGUGUAAAGGGAGCGCAGGUGGCAGUGCAAGUCAGAAGUGAAACCCCGAGGCUUAACUUCGGGCAUGCUUUUGAAACUGCACAGCUGGAGUGCUGGAGGGGUAAGCGGAAUUCCUGGUGUAGCGGUGAAAUGCGUAGAUAUCAGGAAGAACACCGGUGGCGAAGGCGGCUUACUGGACAGCAACUGACACUGAGGCUCGAAGGCGUGGGGAG
Molecule: ribosomal RNA, 245 nt
Filed under: uncultured Butyrivibrio sp.
Lineage: Bacteria; Bacillati; Bacillota; Clostridia; Lachnospirales; Lachnospiraceae
Description: partial 16S ribosomal RNA
Rfam family: Bacterial small subunit ribosomal RNA
Source: RNAcentral